Molecule: ribosomal RNA, 253 nt
Filed under: uncultured bacterium
Lineage: Bacteria
Description: partial 16S ribosomal RNA
Rfam family: Bacterial small subunit ribosomal RNA
Source: RNAcentral
UACGAAGGGGGCUAGCGUUGCUCGGAAUGACUGGGCGUAAAGGGCGCGUAGGCGGCUUGCACCGUCGGAUGUGAAAUUCCUGGGCUUAACCUGGGGGCUGCAUUCGAUACGGGCAAACUAGAGUAUUGCAGGGGAGACUGGAAUUCCUGGUGUAGCGGUGAAAUGCGCAGAUAUCAGGAGGAACACCGGUGGCGAAGGCGGGUCUCUGGGCAAUAACUGACGCUGAGGAGCGAAAGCGUGGGGAGCGAACAGG